Molecule: non-coding RNA, 777 nt
Organism: Macaca mulatta (Rhesus monkey)
Lineage: Eukaryota; Metazoa; Chordata; Mammalia; Primates; Cercopithecidae
Source: RefSeq, a predicted model, not a curated record
AGACGGGGUUUCGCCAUAUUGGCCAGGCUGGUCUCGAACUCCUGAACUUGUGAUCCGCCUGCCUCGGCCUCUGGGAUUACAGACGGGAGCCAUCGCACCUGUGUGUGAAGGUUUUCUAACCGUCUAUCAGAUUUUCUAACCUCCGCAAGCCGCAGGAAGAGAGAGGGAAUCAUGGUCCUUCCGUGUGGCAAGGUCACCAAGCAGCGGCACCCCCCAUCCCAGACAACAGCAGGUCACCUUCCCUGGCUGCCGCGUGGCAGGGCGGGCUCAGGGACGGACUCUGCGCUUCCCUCUGAUUUUCGUCACUUUUGUGGGUUGAAGUUAGACCCCUACUCUGUUGUUUGAACACAGAUCUGGGCCACUUUAUUGAUAUUAGUUACCUGCUGUGCCUCUCGGCACCUCCCGACUUCCUUGCUGUGCUCUGAAAAUGCAGGUUUUGUGCACCCGAAUUAUAAUCUUGCUGUGAUAAUGCGCCUGGAUUGAUUCAACAAAAUGAGUUGUCUAUUUUGUUUUCACUUCGACAUCUCUAAGAAGGAAAGACUGACAAUCGGGAACAUAAAUAUUUUGGACUUCACAUCUUGUGGCAUGAAGAUGAUUAAAAAAAGUGUAAUAAUUACAAGGUAAAAUUUUACCGGGAAAUGCAGUUCUGUUUGAACUGGAGGAUGAACUCACAAAAAGCACUUAUUCUAGAGCAGUGUUAAAAUGCUUCAAUCGCCCAAGCAUCUAAAAGGCACAAAAUUGAUAGCAUUCCAUUAAAUAUAAAUAUGUAGAAACUGC